AACGAACGCUGGCGGCGUGCCUAAUACAUGCAAGUCGAACGAGAAAGUGGCUUCGGUCAUGAGUAAAGUGGCAGACGGGUGAGUAAUACAUAGAUAAUCUACCUCUAAGAUGGGGAUAACCUUCCGAAAGGAGGGCUAAUACCGAAUGAGACCGCAGUUACUACGGUAACAGGGGUCAAAGGAUGGCCUCUAUUUAUACGCUAUCGCUUAGAGAUGAGUUAUGCACCAUUAGCUUGUUGGUGAGGUAACGGCUCACCAAAGCUUUGAUGGUUAG
This 274-nucleotide ribosomal RNA is filed under the name uncultured bacterium. RNAcentral's name for it is "partial 16S ribosomal RNA". It matches the Rfam family "Bacterial small subunit ribosomal RNA", at positions 29 to 286 of the family's 1533-position model. The record is from RNAcentral.